AUUCAUCUGUGUGUAUUGUCUGUAGUUCGAUAUUAGUGGACUUAGUGCACAGCGAGUAAUCAGUGAAGAAACUCAAACUGUUUGAAUAAUGCUUUGGAUACUUAUAAUCCUUCUUAUGAACAUGUACAAAGCGUAUGAUGUUAUUCAAUUAAACCGAGUAACAGAAGCUGCACCUGGAGAUACAGUGACUUUAGAUUGCUUUUCCCCUGUGGCUUUCAAACACGAAUCACUGUCCUGGUACAAACAAACUCUGGGACAAAAGCCUGUUUUAGUGGCUAGGACUUAUGGUGCCACUAUAACCUGGAAUCCUUUGUUUUCUGAAGACUCUAAAAAUGGACGAAUGAACAUACAGCACUCUGAAGGAACAUUUACAUCUGACCAUCACAAACGUCACAUCAUCUGAUGAAGCAACAUUUUACUGCACAUUGUCAGUUUUUCAAGAGGUGAAAUUUGGAAACGGAACGUUUUUGGCUCUCAAAGGACACAGACAGUUUAACCUCAGCUUUAAUGAUGAUAGAGCAUUCUUCUGCGCAGUGGCCAACUGUGGACAAAUGAACACUGAAAAGAAAACAGUUUUGAACACAGAAAAAGCUGUGGAUCCUGUUGUUUAUGGGUUGGUUGCUGUGUCAGGACUGUGUUUUGUGCUCAUAUGGUCCUUAAUUUACCAAGACAGGAAACACAAACAUGACAAAGACGAUGCCACCCAUAGAGGCUACAACAAUAGAGAUGACCUUGAUCAUAUUACUGAACAGAUGCCAAUAUUGAUCAUUCCAGAUGGCAAUGUCUUCACAUCUAUUAUCUACAAAGUCAAGAACCUCUAAGUGCUGCCCUUUCAGCUUUCAUAUCUGUUACCUGCUCCACCAAGUUGGCCACCAAAACAGACACACGCACGCACAAACAUUACUAUUUUUACUGCUCCUCCCCCUUUGUUGCCUACAUGUUGCCUCGUGUCAUUUUGUAGUAACUGAUGAACAUAGAUUUUGCAUGGUGCCAUUCCUUCCCUGCUGUACAUAGAGAGCUGUAUUGUGACCACAUGCAACAAAAAAGUGCCCUUUCUGCUGAAUAAAAAAAUAUAAAAUA
This is a long non-coding RNA of Clupea harengus (Atlantic herring), 1080 nucleotides long. RefSeq lists it as uncharacterized. NCBI's taxonomy places the organism in Eukaryota, Metazoa, Chordata, Actinopteri, Clupeiformes, Clupeidae. The transcript is spliced from 6 exons. The record is from RefSeq and is a predicted model, not a curated record.